UACGUAGGGUCCGAGCGUUGUCCGGAAUUAUUGGGCGUAAAGAGCUCGUAGGCGGUCUGUCGCGUCGGCUGUGAAAACACGGGGCUCAACUCCGUGCCUGCAGUCGAUACGGGCAGACUAGAGUUCGGUAGGGGAGACUGGAAUUCCUGGUGUAGCGGUGAAAUGCGCAGAUAUCAGGAGGAACACCGGUGGCGAAGGCGGGUCUCUGGGACGGUACUGACGCUGAGACGCGAAAGCGUGGGUAGCAAACAGG
RNAcentral lists this ribosomal RNA (253 nucleotides) under uncultured bacterium. RNAcentral describes it as "partial 16S ribosomal RNA". It matches the Rfam family "Bacterial small subunit ribosomal RNA", at positions 524 to 776 of the family's 1533-position model. The record is from RNAcentral.